This 465-nucleotide ribosomal RNA is filed under the name uncultured Glomus. Its description in RNAcentral is "SSU rRNA". It matches the Rfam family "Eukaryotic small subunit ribosomal RNA", at positions 569 to 1040 of the family's 1831-position model. The record is from RNAcentral. Lineage: Eukaryota; Fungi; Glomeromycota; Glomeromycetes; Glomerales; Glomeraceae.
AGCAGCCGCGGUGAUUCCAGCUCCAAUAGCGUAUAUUAAAGUUGUUGCAGUUAAAAAGCUCGUAGUUGAAUUUCGGGAUCAAUUUAUUGGUCGUGCUAUUGUACGUACUGGUAUUAUUGAUUCCUACCUUCUGACGAACCAUGAUGUCAUUAAUUUGGUGUCUUGGGGAAUCAGGACUGUUACUUUGAAAAAUUAGAGUGUUUAAAGCAGGCUCACGCUUGAAUACAUUAGCAUGGAAUAACGAAAUAGGACGUUUGAUUCUAUUUUGUUGGUUUCUAGGAUCGACGUAAUGAUUAAUAGGGAUAGUUGGGGGCAUUAGUAUUCAAUUGUCAGAGGUGAAAUUCUUGGAUUUAUUGAAGACUAACUACUGCGAAAGCAUUUGCCAAGGAUGUUUUCAUUAAUCAAGAACGAAAGUUAGGGGAUCGAAGACGAUCAGAUACCGUCAUAGUCUUAACCAUAAACUAU